Non-coding RNA from Sesamum indicum (sesame), 592 nucleotides. The record is from RefSeq and is a predicted model, not a curated record. NCBI's taxonomy places the organism in Eukaryota, Viridiplantae, Streptophyta, Magnoliopsida, Lamiales, Pedaliaceae.
GCAUGAAACACAAAGGCCAAAUCCAAGAAGAAAGUACAAGCUCCUAGAUUUUACGAAGUGAAGGAUAAACGGCAAAAGAAGGGUUUUCUAAAAACCCCUCAAAAACAGAGAGGAAAAACCAACAGAGGGGUUAGGGUUUAGUACCACUGGCGGAGAGUUUAUUACUCCGGUUGAUGGAAGCGAAGACGUGAUUCUUUCAUCAAGCAGCACACCCAGGAGAAGCGGCGUUGGAGGUGGAUGCGACACAAAAAUCCAAGAAAGAAAUCCCUACUGAUGAAGAGGAAGCUGGCAAAAGUUAUUCGGGCUCUGGGAGCCCGACUUCUUGAGGAGGAAGAGCUGAAUGAGAAUAAGGGAGCUGAUGAUGCUGAUGUUCAGAAACAUCAGAUGCUAAGAAAACUUCAAAAAAAAAGAAAGGUCUCAUGAGUGAAGUUCUCAAAGAUGAGAGGUUUACAGCUAUGUUUGAAAAUAAGGGAAUUAAAACAACUGCUGAACUGAGGAGGGAACAAAAUCUAACAGUGCCUGUCAAACUUCACACAGUGAGAACGUGUUAUAGCUCUUUUUCAUUCCUAGUCCAACCUUAAGAAAGAAAAAG